GUGGGGCAGAGGGCAGCCUGAGCAUCUGCAAACAGAGUGGCUCACAGAGAGGACACCUGCCCUGAGGACACCUGCAGGAGAUCCCUACAGAGGAAGGGCUAGACCAGGCUCCAUCCAGCAAACAGGCAGGACAGCGAUGUCUUCCUGCAUGACAGAAGGGGAAACUGAGGCCCAGAGUGAUGCAGCCCGGGACCUCCCAGGACAAGGUCCAAGCUCUUACCUCAGAUACAAACUCAUCUGGAAGCAUUAAAACAAUGGAAGCAGGUGAGAGCAGAGAGAUCCCGAGCGCAGGUGAGGUGGGGUCCCUGAGGCGGGCUCAAAAGCUGCUUCCCAAGGCAGGGGGGCCCCUAUGUGCCCUCUGAGAGCACAGCCUGCAGACAGAGUCCAGACGUCUCAGGCAGGCCUUUGAGGCCUUCGUGUCAAAGCCCAGUUCUACCACAUCCUAGGGUUAUACUUUCGGCCUGGUGGGAGUCGCUGGUCCCCAGUUGACAGUGUCAUUGGGAAAGUCCAGUGGUAGACCCCGGCACAGCAGGCGCUCAGCAGUGCAGCAGUAUCAUUGCUUAGCCCCACCUCCCUUUCCAGACUCUGCACCCCUCCUCAGGCUCAGAGCAAGGGCCUGCCCCUGCCCCUCCACCGCCCCCUCCUCACUUACCCCUGCGACUCUGCCCAAGCAAGACCUCCCCCUGGAAUUCAUUCAUUUAUCAACUCAUUAUGCAGCCAGCCAGCCAUCGUUUCUUUUUUAUCCACUUUUUCUGAGGGCCUGCUGUGCGCCAGCUGCUGGAGACAUGAAGACAUCGAAGACCCCAGGCCUUGACCUCCAAGAGCCCCCAGUUUGGUGGAAGAAACAAACAAGGAGACUGCAAAACACACCCUGUGAUGGGGAGGGUUGAGGUGGCCAGUGGGAGAGGCGAGCUGGCAGGGCUCAGUGGUGAGGUGAAGGUGUGGGAGCAGGGACACAGCAUGAAGGAGUAGAUGGCCAGGUUGAGCUUUGCAGGCUCCAGGGGGAGGAUAAAGAGCUGACACCUGGAACGUGCUUGGAACAGCAGGUGCUCGGUCAGUGCAGCCACGACCAUCCCGUCCUGCAUCCCCACCAUGAACUUGGACCUUCUGGAAGGACCUUGCUUAUCCCAGCAUCCACACAUCCUUGACCAGACCUGGUCAACAUUUGCUUACCUCUGCCAGCCUCCUCUCACCCAUUCCUGCAUGUGCCGCACCAAUCUGUGUGGAGCGCCCACUCCAGCCAGGCCCUGCUCUAUCAGCAAACUCAGCAGGCAGAACCCCUGCCCCAUGGCGCUGCUUCAGCGUGGUGAGACAGGAACCGCCUGGCUGCUGGGAUGAGAAGAGACUGGAGAGAGACCACGAUGGAAGCCAGGAGGCCAACGAGGAGUUGGGGUAGUCCUCCAGGGAGACAUGAUGUGGCUUCAGCCCCAGUGGUGAUGGCGGGGUAGAGCCAGCAGGGUUCUGAACUGAGUGGAUGUGAAAUGAGGGAAAGAGGGAUGCUGCGGUCGGCAGAAUCGUGCCUCCCGCAAAGAUGCCCCAUCCUAACCCGUCACCCUUGACAGUGAGACCUCCACCACAAAGGGGACUUUGCAGGCAUGAAGGUUAAGGACCCUGAGAGGAGGAGAUGGCCCUGGACUGUCUGGCGGGCCCAGCAUCAUCACAAGGGUGCUUAUAAGUGGAGGAGGAGGCAGGGGGAGCCGAGCAGAUGUGAGGAUAGAAGCAGAGGUCGGAGGGACGUGCUGUUGGCUUGAGAUGGAGGAGGACCUAUGAGCCAAGGAGCAUGGGCGGCCUCUGGAAGCCAGAAAGGGCAAGGCCUCUUCCCGGAGCCUCCAGCAGAACCCAGCCCCGCUGCCACCUCGACUGCAGAACGGUGACACCGUGUCCGAUUCCCGACCUCCAGAACCGUGAGAUAACACGUGUGCUGUUUUAAGCCACUGCAAUUGUGGUAUUUGUCACAGCAGCCAUAGGAAACUGUACGGGGGUUAAAGAGGACCUGCUGACCUCUGAGCUCACACUGAAGCCUCCUGGAAUGCUGUGGGUUGUGAGCUGGGAUGAGAACGCAGCAUGGAGAUGAAAGACGCAUCCACCCAGGAAGGCCCACUGGCAUCGCAAUCUCAGGGAAGAUUCCCAGGCUGAAAAAAGAGAAAGUGGCUGGGGUGGCACUGAAUGCCCCACGUCAAAGAAAUGGCACCCAAGCCGUCCGUCAGUCCCUCACCUGCCACACAGACAGCACCUUGGACCCAGCAAGAUGUCACUCACCACAUUGAUGCUGUCCACAGGCAUCGCCUUGCUUUUGCAGCUCUGUGUGAGAUUUGUCAGCUUGGUUUGGGUCUGGGGCUGUAUUAGAGCUGUCAGCCUAGGAGCCUACCCUAGUUUUGUGUCUGCACUAUUUCCAAAGCACUGGAAUAAAAGGCAUUUUAACCAA
Molecule: long non-coding RNA, 2425 nt
Filed under: Homo sapiens (human)
Lineage: Eukaryota; Metazoa; Chordata; Mammalia; Primates; Hominidae
Description: long independently transcribed non-coding RNA 1488, transcript variant 8 (LINC01488)
Source: RNAcentral